This 820-nucleotide ribosomal RNA is filed under the name uncultured bacterium. RNAcentral's name for it is "bacterial SSU rRNA". It matches the Rfam family "Bacterial small subunit ribosomal RNA", at positions 34 to 894 of the family's 1533-position model. The record is from RNAcentral.
CGCUGGCGGUAUGCUUUACACAUGCAAGUCGAACGGAGUUCUUAGGAACUUAGUGGCGGACGGGUGAGUAACGCGUGAGAAUUUGGCUUCAGGUCGGGGACAACAGUUGGAAACGACUGCUAAUACCGGAUAUGCCGGAAGGUGAAAGGCUUGCUGCCUGAAGAUAAGCUCGCGUCUGAUUAGCUAGUUGGUAGUGUAAGGGACUACCAAGGCGACGAUCAGUAGCUGGUCUGAGAGGAUGAUCAGCCACACUGGGACUGAGACACGGCCCAGACUCCUACGGGAGGCAGCAGUGGGGAAUUUUCCGCAAUGGGCGAAAGCCUGACGGAGCAAUACCGCGUGAGGGAGGAAGGCUCUUGGGUCGUAAACCUCUUUUCUCAAGGAAGAAGAAAGUGACGGUACUUGAGGAAUAAGCAUCGGCUAACUCCGUGCCAGCAGCCGCGGUAAUACGGAGGAUGCAAGCGUUAUCCGGAAUGAUUGGGCGUAAAGGGUCCGCAGGUGGUACUGUAAGUCUGCUGUUAAAGAGUCUGGCUCAACCAGAUAAAAGCAGUGGAAACUACAGAACUAGAGUGCGUUCGGGGCAGAAGGAAUUCCUGGUGUAGCGGUGAAAUGCGUAGAUAUCAGGAAGAACACCGGUGGCGAAAGCGUUCUGCUAGGCCGCAACUGACACUGAGGGACGAAAGCUAGGGGAGCGAAUGGGAUUAGAUACCCCAGUAGUCCUAGCCGUAAACGAUGGAUACUAGGCGUGGCUUGUAUCGACCCGAGCCGUGCCGGAGCUAACGCGUUAAGUAUCCCGCCUGGGGGAGUACGCAUGCAAGUG